Molecule: ribosomal RNA, 253 nt
Filed under: uncultured bacterium
Lineage: Bacteria
Description: partial 16S ribosomal RNA
Rfam family: Bacterial small subunit ribosomal RNA
Source: RNAcentral
UACGAAGGGGGCUAGCGUUGUUCGGAUUCAUUGGGCGUAAAGGGUGCGUAGGUGGUGCUGUAAGUCAGGUGUGAAAUCUCGGGGCUCAACCCCGAAACUGCACAUGAUACUGCGGUGCUCGAGGACUGGAGAGGAGAUCGGAAUUCAUGGUGUAGCAGUGAAAUGCGUAGAUAUCAUGAGGAAGACCAGUGGCGAAGGCGGAUCUCUGGACAGUUCCUGACACUGAGGCACGAAGGCCAGGGGAGCAAACGGG